This 71-nucleotide transfer RNA is filed under the name Raiamas buchholzi. RNAcentral describes it as "tRNA-Trp". It matches the Rfam family "tRNA". Rfam says of the family: Transfer RNA (tRNA) molecules are approximately 80 nucleotides in length. Their secondary structure includes four short double-helical elements and three loops (D, anti-codon, and T loops). The record is from RNAcentral. Lineage: Eukaryota; Metazoa; Chordata; Actinopteri; Cypriniformes; Danionidae.
AGGAACUUAGGAUAACCAUAGACCAAGAGCCUUCAAAGCUCUAAGCAGGGGUGAAAAUCCCCUAGUUCCUG